Molecule: long non-coding RNA, 1771 nt
Filed under: Phoenix dactylifera (date palm)
Lineage: Eukaryota; Viridiplantae; Streptophyta; Magnoliopsida; Arecales; Arecaceae
Description: long non-coding RNA (PDAC_LNC006408)
Source: RNAcentral
UAUCCUAAACUAAUGUGGCGGGACACUGCAUCUUUCCUAAGCAUGGACUAUCUUAUAUUUACUUAGUGAUCAUGAAAAAUAGUUGUAUAAACGUCAUACUUAAAAUCACAGAAAUUAAAUAUGAGUUAAAACAAGAUAUCCAUUAAAAAUAAUAAGUUCAUACAACCUCAAGAAUAGAAAUAAAAAAAUAAAUACAAAUCCCUUAUCCUUUUGUUAGGGCUACAUCCAAAUCUAGAGAAGAGCUCAGGCUUCCAUGCAGUGGUGGACGGCAGCAGCAGCACAGUAGCAGGCUCCCAUUCCUUCCUUCUCUUCCUCCGGCGACUCCCCUAUGAACGUAGACUUCAUUAUUUCCUCAUAUGGGAAGUUAUUCCCGAAAUGCCCAAAAUUUUCUCCCUCUUAUUUUUUUGGGAAUUUGGCUGGUAACCCAAGCUUGCUUUCUCCCGGUGAAGCUUCCUCCUUUUAUAGCUGCAAUCUCCCCCUCUCUCCUCCUUCCAAGUCGAGAUAAAGAUGGAUCAACGGCUUCCAACUCCCCCUAGCUCCUCCUUCCGAGUGCAGGAUAAGGAUGAAGACGCGGUGGGUAUCUUGCGGAUGGCUGGAAUGAGCUGGGAGCAGGUGAUGUGGAGAAGAUCUCAGAGGUGACGUGGAGGUUGGAGCUCUAUUUCGAAGCAGAGGAAGUCGUGGAAGACGCGGGAUGGCACUCACGGCUGAGAGGAUCUCGGCUAAUAGCUGAGAGGAAACCGAAACAGGGGAAGAGGAUGAGAGGAUAAGCUUGGACAUUGAGCAGGGAAGAUGAACUUGGACGUUGGGAAGAGAUGAAGCUGUGAUGGUUGACAGCUGGGACUUGAAGCUUAGAUCGAAACCGUAGGAGGUUGGGAGGAAGUUGGGACUCGGGAUAAGGAUGAUGUUGGAACAGGGGAGCUAGGACGAACACAGAGGAAUUCGGAAGAGAUGAAGCUGGGAGCAAAUCCGGAUGAAGUCUGGAUUCGGUUGAGGAUGUGGAUGAAGAUAAAAGUUUGUUUGCUUGGCAUGCAUCGCGGGAGAAGCUGGGAGAUGUCCGGGAGAAGAAAAGAUGAGCUUUGAACACGGAUGAUUACGAACUUGAGAUCAUUCCGGAAGAAGGAAUCUCAUGCGGAUGGUAGCCGUUGAUAGGAUCGCUGUGAACUCGGGAAGAUGAAAUGGAUGUGGAAUUCGGGAGGAUGAAGUGGAUGUUGGGAGAUUAGUUGAGAUGAAGACACGGAAGACUUGAAAACGAUGGAUACGGCUGAGAAUAGAGGAGCUGGGAUUCCGAAAUUUGCUGGGAGAUGUUAGGAUGUUAUCCGGAGGGAUAUUGGCUGCUUGAUCCGAACGGAAGAAGAUCACAACGGGAUGAAGCUAAUCCGGAUGCUGAGUUUGAGCUUAUCCGGACUCUGUUUUGAAGCAGGGAUUUAUCCGAGAUGAUGGAGUUGGGAUGAGGAUGCAGGGGAUUCGGAGUUGCUGCCGUUGGUUGAGAUGAAGAUGGGCGUAAGGGAGAAUCGGACAUGAUGUUGCUAGGUUCAUGCGGACGGGAGGGAGGACACGUGCUGAGAAAUGAAAAUUGGGGUCGACUCUAAUUGGUUGGGAAGAUCCGAUUCAUGGGGUGCAUGCGAUUUGGGUUCAGGGGUCAUCCCAGAUGAAUUUGAUUCAACCUGCAUACAUUAGAUGGACCAAUAAAAUCAAGCAAAAUCGAAUUAUUUUUAAUAAUGCAAUGAUGAAGGGGAACACAUUUUCUUAUGUUAAAUUUAAAAUAUGUGCA